ACAUGGAAUGAAUUUUGCAAGGAAAUUAACGCAAAAUGCAAAGUAGAAACAAAAAAUAUCACAUGUGACUGUGUACAUAAAGAUUAUUAUUUUGACAGCAAUCAAAGAAGAUGUCAAAUUGAAGAUCAAUGCAAAUACGAAGUUUGUGGUGAUGGUGCUAAGUGUAUACAUAUCAAAGAUACUUACGCAAGCGAAUGCAAUUGCAGCGAGGAACAAUAUUAUGAUUAUUCAGAGAAUAAGUGUUUAAGUAUUGAUAAAUGUUUAGGUAAAGUAUGUGAUGUAUUUAAAGAAUGUAAAAAAGGUGAAUGCAAGUGUAUAAAGGAAUUAGAAGACAAUG
Molecule: long non-coding RNA, 337 nt
Organism: Centruroides sculpturatus (bark scorpion)
Lineage: Eukaryota; Metazoa; Arthropoda; Arachnida; Scorpiones; Buthidae
Exons: 3
Source: RefSeq, a predicted model, not a curated record